This 233-nucleotide transfer RNA is filed under the name Metarhizium anisopliae. RNAcentral's name for it is "tRNA-Lys". The record is from RNAcentral. Lineage: Eukaryota; Fungi; Ascomycota; Sordariomycetes; Hypocreales; Clavicipitaceae.
GCUUAUAUAUUAAGUUUUAAAAUACUAGUUUUUUAGAUAAAUUAUAUUAUAAGUUUAUAAUUUUAUUAUAAAAAAAUUAUUAUAGCUUAACUUUAAUAAUAAAAAAUUAUAAAAAUUCUAGGUUUAUAUUAAAAUACUUUAAAGCUUAUUAUUAUUUUUUAUUUUAUUUUUAUUAUAUAUAAUACUACUUUUUAAUUAAUUAUAAGCUAUAAAUAAAACCUUUAUUAUAAGCU